Molecule: ribosomal RNA, 452 nt
Filed under: uncultured organism
Description: partial 16S ribosomal RNA
Rfam family: Bacterial small subunit ribosomal RNA
Source: RNAcentral
ACGUACACUCCUGCGGGAGGCAGCAGUGGGGAAUAUUGGACAAUGGGCGCAAGCCUGAUCCAGCCAUGCCGCGUGAGUGAUGAAGGCCCUAGGGUUGUAAAGCUCUUUCACCGGAGAAGAUAAUGACGGUAUCCGGAGAAGAAGCCCCGGCUAACUUCGUGCCAGCAGCCGCUGUAAUACGAAGGGGGCUAGCGUUGUUCGGAAUUACUGGGCGUAAAGCGCACGUAGGCGGAUCGAUCAGUCAGGGGUGAAAUCCCAGGGCUCAACCCUGGAACUGCCUUUGAUACUGUCGAUCUGGAGUAUGGAAGAGGUGAGUGGAAUUCCGAGUGUAGAGGUGAAAUUCGUAGAUAUUCGGAGGAACACCAGUGGCGAAGGCGGCUCACUGGUCCAUUACUGACGCUGAGGUGCGAAAGCGUGGGGAGCAAACAGGAUUAGAAACCCCGGUAGUCCCA